AUCUGCCAGGAACUAAGAUUGCUGUUUGCCAUGAUAUUAUUCUUUUUAACAUUAAGUAGCAAGCCAGCUUUUGCACUCAAUUCUUUUACCCUCAUCAACAGGUCCUUUAGUUCUUGCUCACUUUCAACCAUCAGAGUAGUAUCAUCCGUGUAUCUGAGGUUGUUGAUAUUUCUUCCAGCAAUAUUGAUUCCAGCUUUGGAUUCAUCAGUUGAAUAAGGUGACAAUAUACAAUCUUGUCACACUCCUUUCCUGAUCUUGAACCAUUCUGUUGUCCCAUGUUCGGUUCUGACUGUGGCUUCUUGGUCCACAUACAGAUUCCUCAGGAGGCGGAUGAGAUGAUCUGGUACUCCCAUCUCUUUAAGAACUUGCCACAUGUUGUUGUGAUCCACACAGUCAAAGGCUUUAGAAUAGUCUAUGAAGCAGAAGUAGAUGUUUUUCUGGAACGCUCAGUCUUUCUCUAUUAUCCAUCGUACAUUGGCAAUUUGAUCUCUUGUGCCACGUCCUCUGCGGAACCCAGCUUGUACACCUGGUAAUUCCCGGUCCAUGUAUUGUUUGAAUUGAGCUUGUAGGAUCUUAAGCAUUACCUUGCUGGCAUGUGAAAUUAGUGCAAUUGUUCGAUAAUUGAAGCACUCUUUGGCAUUGCAUUUUUGGGGGAUUGUAAUGUAGACUGACCUUUUCCAGUUUUUUGGCCACUGUUGAGUUUUCCAAAUUUGUUGACAUAAGGCAAGAAGAAUUUUCACAGCAUCAUCUUGCAGAAUUUUGAAUAGUUCAAUUGGGAUUUCAUCAACUCCUGCAGCCUUGUUAUCUGCAAGGCAUCCUAGGGCCCAUCUCACUUCGCUCUCCAAGAUAACUGGUUACAUCUCAUUGGACCAACUAUUGAGGUCAUCACUGCUGUUAAGAUCCUUCCUGUAUAGAUCUUCAGUGUAUUCCUGCCAUCUCUUCUUUAGCUGAUCUUCUUCUGUUAAUUCCCUUCCAUUUUUGUCUUUUAUCACACCC
Molecule: non-coding RNA, 996 nt
Organism: Pelobates cultripes (western spadefoot toad)
Lineage: Eukaryota; Metazoa; Chordata; Amphibia; Anura; Pelobatidae
Source: the annotation of a GenBank genome assembly